Molecule: ribosomal RNA, 1372 nt
Filed under: uncultured bacterium
Lineage: Bacteria
Description: bacterial SSU rRNA
Rfam family: Bacterial small subunit ribosomal RNA
Source: RNAcentral
GAUGAACGCUGGCGGCGUGCCUAAUACAUGCAAGUCGAGCGAACGGACGAGAAGCUUGCUUCUCUGAUGUUAGCGGCGGACGGGUGAGUAACACGUGGAUAACCUACCUAUAAGACUGGGAUAACUUCGGGAAACCGGAGCUAAUACCGGAUAAUAUUUUGAACCGCAUGGUUCAAAAGUGAAAGACGGUCUUGCUGUCACUUAUAGAUGGAUCCGCGCUGCAUUAGCUAGUUGGUAAGGUAACGGCCUACCAAGGCAACGAUGCAUAGCCGACCUGAGAGGGUGAUCGGCCACACUGGAACUGAGACACGGUCCAGACUCCUACGGGAGGCAGCAGUAGGGAAUCUUCCGCAAUGGGCGAAAGCCUGACGGAGCAACGCCGCGUGAGUGAUGAAGGUCUUCGGAUCGUAAAACUCUGUUAUUAGGGAAGAACAUAUGUGUAAGUAACUGUGCACAUCUUGACGGUACCUAAUCAGAAAGCCACGGCUAACUACGUGCCAGCAGCCGCGGUAAUACGUAGGUGGCAAGCGUUAUCCGGAAUUAUUGGGCGUAAAGCGCGCGUAGGCGGUUUUUUAAGUCUGAUGUGAAAGCCCACGGCUCAACCGUGGAGGGUCAUUGGAAACUGGAAAACUUGAGUGCAGAAGAGGAAAGUGGAAUUCCAUGUGUAGCGGUGAAAUGCGCAGAGAUAUGGAGGAACACCAGUGGCGAAGGCGACUUUCUGGUCUGUAACUGACGCUGAUGUGCGAAAGCGUGGGGAUCAAAUAGGGUUAGAUACCCUGGUAGUCCACGCCGUAAACGAUGAGUGCUAAGUGUUAGGGGGUUUCCGCCCCUUAGUGCUGCAGCUAACGCAUUAAGCACUCCGCCUGGGGAGUACGACCGCAAGGUUGAAACUCAAAGGAAUUGACGGGGACCCGCACAAGCGGUGGAGCAUGUGGUUUAAUUCGAAGCAACGCGAAGAACCUUACCAAAUCUUGACAUCCUUUGACAACUCUAGAGAUAGAGCUUUCCCCUUCGGGGGACAAAGUGACAGGUGGUGCAUGGUUGUCGUCAGCUCGUGUCGUGAGAUGUUGGGUUAAGUCCCGCAACGAGCGCAACCCUUAAGCUUAGUUGCCAUCAUUAAGUUGGGCACUCUAAGUUGACUGCCGGUGACAAACCGGAGGAAGGUGGGGAUGACGUCAAAUCAUCAUGCCCCUUAUGAUUUGGGCUACACACGUGCUACAAUGGACAAUACAAAGGGCAGCGAAACCGCGAGGUCAAGCAAAUCCCAUAAAGUUGUUCUCAGUUCGGAUUGUAGUCUGCAACUCGACUACAUGAAGCUGGAAUCGCUAGUAAUCGUAGAUCAGCAUGCUACGGUGAAUACGUUCCCGGGUCU